Molecule: transfer RNA, 469 nt
Filed under: Stutzerimonas stutzeri
Lineage: Bacteria; Pseudomonadati; Pseudomonadota; Gammaproteobacteria; Pseudomonadales; Pseudomonadaceae
Description: partial 16S-23S ribosomal RNA intergenic spacer
Rfam family: tRNA (bases 196-268)
Source: RNAcentral
GGUGUAGGAUCUUACCUUAUCGAAGACACCGGCUUCGUCAUAAGCUACCCACACAGAAUUGCUUGAUUCACUUGCGAAAGGCGAUUGGGUUUAGACCCGAGAGUAACGAUUGGGUCUGUAGCUCAGUUGGUUAGAGCGCACCCCUGAUAAGGGUGAGGUCCGGCAUUUCAAAUCUGCCCAGACCCACCAAUCGAAGGGGCCAUAGCUCAGCUGGGAGAGCGCCUGCUUUGCACGCAGGAGGUCAGCGGUUCGAUCCCGCUUGGCUCCACCAUUAACUCUAGUCGCCGAAAGCUCAGAAAUGAGUGUUUGCCAGGACGAUGAUUGAUCGCCUGGGAUGAACAUUGAUUUCUGGACUUUGCGCCAGAACUGUUCUUUAAAAAUUUGGGUAUGUGAUAGAAGUAGACCGAUGUGUUGCUUUCACUGGCAGCAUGUCGCGUCAAGGUAAAAUUUGCGUGUUCUCUAUGCAAAU